This 2859-nucleotide long non-coding RNA is filed under the name Solanum tuberosum (potato). Its description in RNAcentral is "long non-coding RNA (STUB_LNC008041)". Lineage: Eukaryota; Viridiplantae; Streptophyta; Magnoliopsida; Solanales; Solanaceae. The record is from RNAcentral.
UUCCUCUAAAAUCAAUAUAUACUCGUAUAUUUUGUCAAUUAGCUAUUAAUAUAUUAUCAUCAUUCAUUCUAAUUGAAGAAACACACAAAAUAAUCCUUAAACUGGAUAUAACAAGUACUUCUAUUACUAAAAAAAUCAACAAAAUAUAUAAUUCACAAUAAUUCAUUGUUCAAUGUCAUUUAUGCAUAUACACAAAUGAAAAAGAAAAUUAACUACUAAGUGUCUUCAAGCUCCCCUCCUUUGUCGAUGGCUUUUGAGAUAAUGCAAGAACCUUGCCCCUAUUAGAAAAAUACACAAGAUCACUUUUAUUAUUAACAUAAUCAUAAUGUUAAUAGAAAAGAGAUGGUUAUAAAAGAGCGAUAAUAGAAAAAGGGCAGUUAUAAAGUUAUUAGAAAAAGACAGUGCACAAGCUGACAUCACCAAACUUGCUGGUGGUACAAUAAAUUCAACACCGAGUUCAUCAAAUGCAUUCUAUUUAUCAGUUGUUUUUCAAUUCCUUCACAAAAUUGAAGAACACAAGCUAGUUUGAUGCAAGAAGAGAAACAAUGAAGAAGUGCAUCUGGGGGAGUAUGUUGAAUAGCUCAAGAUUUAUUACAUAGAACUAACAAUUGGCGACUUGUGCUUAAGAGUUGCAGUUAUAACAAAAGGUCGAAAUAGAUACCAAUGCAUUUACCUGUUGAAUUCUCGACAUUAUAGAAUCCACCACUUUUAAUCUCUUUGUCCACUUUUAAUAUCAUUUGUUCUUGGAGCGUUCUAUCUAUCUCUAUAGAAAUUUGUCCUUGUUCUUCUGACAACUUCCAAUCCUUCUUAAUUUUCAUCUCAGCUUCCGAAGUAAUUCAUUGAAUCAACACAGUAGCAAACAACUUCAUAGAAACAAAAUAAUGAAUAAAUAUGAUAAAAUUGCAGAAGCACAAAAAUUGAAAUUGAGAAGCAUCUGACUUGAAGAGCUGAUUGUUUAGCCGAGUUAAAAAGAAGCUAAAGUCAUCACAAACAUAUCGUUAAAAUUGAAUCUAUGACCAGUUGCUCAAACUAAAUUAUCAAAAAAUCAAAAUAUAGUUAAUUGUGGUAAAUGUUUUUUGUCACUCCAUAUCAUUGUUUUUUUCUAGUGACAUCUCCAUCAUCAUCAGGUAACUCUUCUUUGAUUUUUUCAACUUUGGAUACGUCCAUAACUUAAUCUUCAUAGAUAUUAAUCAUAUCCAAAAUCGAAUGCAGAAGCACGUUUAAAGUGAAACUUUUAGCUAAAGCAACUGAAGGAAAAUAUUGUGCUGAGCAGCACCAAAUAGUUAGAUUUGGCAUAACGAGUUAAGGACAAGAGUGGGCGGGCAGGAGGCAAGGGUCUCGCAGAAACAAAAGCUAACACUAACUUUCUAAUACUAAUAUGUUGAAAAGUGUUACUGAAGCAUAAAUACAAUAAAAAAAACUGACAUCAUACAAACUUCAAAUUUCCAAAGUCACAACAAUCAAAAGUGAGCCCAAUAUAACCUUGAACCAUAUUUUAAGACUAAGCAUAGAAAACAAAUAAGUCUUCCAUUUGACUGAAUUAAUAAAUCACCAAGUCAACUAACUUAUACUUCUUUUGUACUUCUUAUUUUCCAUAAAGGACCAAAGGAAGACUACAUUUUCUUUCCUAAGAAAUUACUUUACUACAACAUAUAGUUAUCUUCCUUCCUAUCUAUAAAUGUAUGAUAUAACUUGUAUGAUCAUACUAUGAAGCAUUCACCAUGAUAUUUCUUAACAUUACAUUACUUUUGUUGUUUUGCAAGCAUCUAGAUAAUUUCAAGAGAGAUCUUUCCUAGUAAUAUCUAGUUUUUACAUAGUAUUUAGUUAUGUAAAUUCAGAAACUUGUACUUGUAUUAAAUUUAAGUUUUGAUAAAAGAAAUAUUAUUACAUCAAAUCCUUGGAGAUAGAUUUUAGAUGAGCCAUAUAUUUUUGCAGCUAGUAUCAAAUUUCAACAACUUUAAAUUGUUGAAUCAGUGGCUUUCUCCUAAAUGUUCAAGUUAAUUUUAAAACUCUCAUACAAGAUUAAAAACAAGAAUGAAGUAAAACACAUUCAAGUGGUUCUGAACACACAAACUAGACUAGCAACAAUGUUAAUCACAUACCGAUAAAUUAACUGAUCAGUGAUUAUUAUUUUUCUUAAGGUUUUCAGUUCAUAUUAGCCAUUUUAGAUGCUGAUUUUAUUUAUCAAAUAAAAAUGAAAAAAUUAUAGACGUACAACAAAAAAUUAAUUAAGCGGGCAAGAACAUUUAUUCAUUCACACAUUCAUUUAAAGACCUAGAAUGGAAAGUAAGUAAAUGGGAGGUUAUUGACCUUCUCCGAGACAACGAAUCGGUGAAUCUCGAGUCUUCACCAUUGAAAAGCUUGUUUAACAGAGCCGAUGUAAGCUCUUUUUACAUUAGAAAAACUAAAUAUUAGCUCCCCAAUAAAGCUAAAGAGUUUCAAACUAUGAGAAUCAAAAUAAGUGGGAAAUCUUCCGAGUGAUUUUGAGAGGAUAUAAUUAAAAAACAAGGGCGAAAACUCACUUUUUCAUAGCUAUUUGGAGCCAUUGGGGGGCUGUUGAAUGUUGAAUUCAUCCAUGGACCUUAGAAAAAUCUUUUAUCUGUUGAGUUAGAAGGAGAAAUCAUUAGUGUCGUUGUGUUCCUUCUUGAGGUCUAUUCGCUAUUUGUAACUGUGAGAAGCUUCAAAGAGGCGUGAGAGGGUGGAGGAGACAACUACGGCGAUAGCAGAGGUCGUGCCGGUCUUUUCCCGACGUCCUAGAGGCGGCGCUUAUGUGGUUCAGAAUUUGAUUGAAUGAAAAUGGGGAAGGGAUUGCGGUCUUUAGUUGGGUUAUUUGGGCCAGGUCAGGGUUUUUGGUUCAAG